GCCAGGCACAGUGGCCCAUGUCUGUGUUCCCAGCUACUCCAGAGAUUGAGGCAGAAGGCUCAUGUGAGCCCAGUUCUGGGCUGUAGUGCGCUGUGCGGAUUGGGUGCCUGUGCUAAGUUCAGCAUCAACAUGGUGACUUCCUGGGAGCAAUGGACCACCAGAUUGCCUAAGGAGGGGUGAACUAACCCAGGACAGAAAUUGAGCAGGUCAGAAUUCCUGCUGAUCAGUACUUGGAUAGUGCCUGUGUAUAGCCACUGCACUCAAGCCUGGACUACAUAGCAAGACCACGUCUCUA
Molecule: unclassified non-coding RNA, 295 nt
Organism: Macaca fascicularis (crab-eating macaque)
Lineage: Eukaryota; Metazoa; Chordata; Mammalia; Primates; Cercopithecidae
Rfam family: Metazoan signal recognition particle RNA
About the family: The signal recognition particle (SRP) is a universally conserved ribonucleoprotein. It is involved in the co-translational targeting of proteins to membranes. The eukaryotic SRP consists of a 300-nucleotide 7S RNA and six proteins: SRPs 72, 68, 54, 19, 14, and 9.
Source: Ensembl